CUUGGGGAGUGGAAGGUCCCUCAGCCCAAAUUGCAAGAGGGUGCAGGUCAGGCUGAGGGUACCCACUAGUGCAUG
Molecule: non-coding RNA, 75 nt
Organism: Myotis brandtii (Brandt's bat)
Lineage: Eukaryota; Metazoa; Chordata; Mammalia; Chiroptera; Vespertilionidae
Source: Rfam